UUUUUCUUAGCCAAACGUGAUGAACAAAACGGAGCGAUUUCUCCUACACAAAUAAUAUUUUUGGAAAAACUGAACAUUUGCUAUCUAACUGAGAGUCUCCUCAUUGAAAACAUCCGAAGUUCUUCAAAGGCCCAAGACAUAAAGUCUCCUGAAAGCUGUGUAGCAAUCAUUCCAUUGCUGACCCAUAGGAUGGUAAUCACAUACAUGAUUGGCUUCAUCUAGAAUCAUGGAUACCUUUCAUACCUUCUCAUCACAAGUUGGAACUAGUGGUCAACAUUGGGACAAUGCAGCCAUAAAUAACAUGGACCAAUAUUUUCAUGGAGUGAGCAAGACCUGCCAGCAGAGCUCACUGGAGCAGGGAGACAUGCCAUCAUCCUUUU
Molecule: long non-coding RNA, 380 nt
Organism: Oncorhynchus tshawytscha (Chinook salmon)
Lineage: Eukaryota; Metazoa; Chordata; Actinopteri; Salmoniformes; Salmonidae
Source: Ensembl